GGAGGUCACGGCGAGACGAGCCGUUUAUCGUUUAUCAUUACGAUGAUAUAACAUAUACGAUAUACCAUAGGUGUCAAGUGGAAGUGCAGUGAUGUAUGCAGCUGAGGCAUCCUAAUAGACCGAAAGAAUUGAAC
Molecule: ribosomal RNA, 134 nt
Filed under: Anacampseros filamentosa
Lineage: Eukaryota; Viridiplantae; Streptophyta; Magnoliopsida; Caryophyllales; Anacampserotaceae
Description: 4.5S ribosomal RNA
Source: RNAcentral